Molecule: ribosomal RNA, 429 nt
Filed under: Chloroflexota bacterium
Lineage: Bacteria; Bacillati; Chloroflexota
Description: Chloroflexi bacterium partial 16S ribosomal RNA
Rfam family: Bacterial small subunit ribosomal RNA
Source: RNAcentral
UGGGGAAUAUUGCACAAUGGGCGCAAGCCUGAUGCAGCCAUGCCGCGUGUAUGAAGAAGGCCUUCGGGUUGUAAAGUACUUUCAGCGGGGAGGAAGGGAGUAAAGUUAAUACCUUUGCUCAUUGACGUUACCUGCAGAAGAAGCACCGGCUAACUCCGUGCCAGCAGCCGCGGUAAUACGGAGGGUGCAAGCGUUAAUCGGAAUUACUGGGCGUAAAGCGCACGCAGGCGGUUUGUUAAGUCAGAUGUGAAAUCCCCGGGCUCAACCUGGGAACUGCAUCUGAUACUGGCAAGCUUGAGUCUCGUAGAGGGGGGUAGAAUUCCAGGUGUAGCGGUGAAAUGCGUAGAGAUCUGGAGGAAUACCGGUGGCGAAGGCGGCCCCCUGGACAAAGACUGACGCUCAGGUGCGAAAGCGUGGGGAGCAAACAGG